CAGCAGCCGCGGUAAAACGGAGGGGGCUAGCGUUGUUCGGAAUUACUGGGCGUAAAGCGCACGUAGGCGGCUUUGUAAGUUAGAGGUGAAAGCCUGGGGCUCAACUCCAGAAUUGCCUUUAAGACUGCAUCGCUUGAACGUCGGAGAGGUGAGUGGAAUUCCGAGUGUAGAGGUGAAAUUCGUAGAUAUUCGGAAGAACACCAGUGGCGAAGGCGGCUUACUGGCUCAUUCUAGACGCUGAGGUGCGAAAGCGUGGGGAGCAAACAGGAUUAGAUACCCCUGUAGUCCCUGUCUCUUAUAC
This 301-nucleotide ribosomal RNA is filed under the name uncultured bacterium. RNAcentral's name for it is "partial 16S ribosomal RNA". It matches the Rfam family "Bacterial small subunit ribosomal RNA", at positions 509 to 807 of the family's 1533-position model. The record is from RNAcentral.